GCACAAGCAAUCUGGGCCUAAUCCUUCAAGUCAUGGUUGAUCUAAGCAGACUUGAUCAAUCCCUCCGACAGCACUGUAAUGAUUGUGGAUCAUCUGCGAAACAGAAAAAAUAGCUAAGUCACCUAUUCUGCCAAAAAUAAUUCGGAAAGAAGUCGAAUAAGCAAAGGUUGGAUACUUAUCCCGAUCAAUGACAUGUAAGCGUCUGACUGGAUCUCCG
This 217-nucleotide long non-coding RNA is filed under the name Elaeis guineensis (African oil palm). RNAcentral's name for it is "long non-coding RNA (EGUI_LNC015560)". The record is from RNAcentral. Lineage: Eukaryota; Viridiplantae; Streptophyta; Magnoliopsida; Arecales; Arecaceae.